CACGCUUCAUUUUUGGGAAAAGCACCUAGGGAAUAUUUGUGGAAUCCAAGAAUUCUUGGAAUUCCCUAUGUCCCUACGCUGCAUUUUGGGAAAAAGCACAUGGGGAACAUUUGUGGAAUCCAAGAAGUCUUGGAAUUCCCUAUGUCCCCCACGCUUCAUUUUUGGGAAAAGCACAUGGGGAACAUUUGCGGAAUCCAAGAAGUCUUGAAAUUCCCUAUGUCCCCCAUGCCACAUUUUUGAAAAUAUAAUAAAUACAAAAAAUAAAAUAUAUAUGUAUAUAUAUA
RNAcentral lists this long non-coding RNA (284 nucleotides) under Nicotiana tabacum (common tobacco). RNAcentral's name for it is "long non-coding RNA (NTAB_LNC011712)". The record is from RNAcentral. Lineage: Eukaryota; Viridiplantae; Streptophyta; Magnoliopsida; Solanales; Solanaceae.